Long non-coding RNA from Perca flavescens (yellow perch), 658 nucleotides. RefSeq lists it as uncharacterized. The transcript is spliced from 5 exons. The record is from RefSeq and is a predicted model, not a curated record. NCBI's taxonomy places the organism in Eukaryota, Metazoa, Chordata, Actinopteri, Perciformes, Percidae.
UUUUUACAGAGAGGAGGCGGAGGAGGAUGGAGGAUGGCAAAAUUAAUCUUCAACCCUCUCAUGUAAGAGUUUUUUACAGAGAGGAAAGGAGGAGGAGGAGGAGGAGGGCAAAAUUAGGCUUAAACCCCUCUAAUGUAAAAGAGAGGAGAGGAGGAUGUAAAGGGCAAAAUUAAGUGUGAACGCUCAUGUGAAAGAGCAUGUGUGUGGCAGGCGGCGUGGCUGGCUUCUCCAGGCAGCAGUCAAGGCGCACCUGCUUUCCAUCAUCUCAUCACCCACCCCAGUUAAGCCGGGUCUUCACUCCACUGCUCUGCCAGAUUAUUCCAUCAUGUUCGCUUUAUGUUGGUGCCACGCUGCUGUUUCCAGUUCCUGGUUUUCAUCGCCUGUUUUUCCACUCUGCCUCUGAGGACAUCUCCCGCAGCUCCCUGUCGCCACUGCUCCUACAAGAGACACUUUUCGUUCAAAUCAUAGACUGUUAAUAUUAAUACAGUCUACUGUUCAAAUACACUUUUUGUACCCUACCAUACCAGCUCCGGUUCUCUGCUUUGGGGUCCAACUUUACUAAGAUCCUAGCAGUGGCUUCAGUGUGUCUGAGUGAAAGAAAACCAUUUUUAAUAGUCCAAUAAACUAAUGUUAACAAAUAGAUUUAAGUGUUUAAUGA